UAGAAUUAGUACAACGUAACUGUCUAUAAAGGAAGCUAGGUAGGGGAAGACCCCAAAUCAAGAUGUUAAUUGCCAGUUAAAGGGGCAAGAUGCUAAUAAAAUCUAUGAUGUUAAUACAGAGGAAAUUAUCAUGGAAUACAAUGGAUGAUUGUAUAUAAAUAAUAUUAUCUGUUGUAUGAAGA
Long non-coding RNA from Octopus sinensis (East Asian common octopus), 182 nucleotides. RefSeq lists it as uncharacterized. Lineage: Eukaryota; Metazoa; Mollusca; Cephalopoda; Octopoda; Octopodidae. The transcript is spliced from 3 exons. The record is from RefSeq and is a predicted model, not a curated record.